Molecule: long non-coding RNA, 4088 nt
Organism: Grus americana (Whooping crane)
Lineage: Eukaryota; Metazoa; Chordata; Aves; Gruiformes; Gruidae
Exons: 3
Source: RefSeq, a predicted model, not a curated record
GGCGGCUUUGUGCCUGCCGGCGGCCUGCCCAGCGUGACCCCCUGGAGUCGGGGCGCGUCACAGUCUUUGCCCCUUGGCCACCCGUGAAGCCCCUUGGCGUGUUGAGGCCCCUCUGGCCUCCAUGCAGCCCGGGGGGCGGGUCUGAGGCUCUCCUCUCCUGCUCGGCGGUAGGGAUGGCGCCCCAGACAUUGGCUGCACAGGGCUCGCUCGCCCUUCUGGGAAGUUUUGUUUGUGUGUCCUUGUCCUUGUCUUUGUCCUUGUGGGUGUGAGCGAGCGAGCGAGUGAGCUUGUCCUUUAGGCCCCUCUUAAAAGCGCUGCAGCUUAGCUUAAGCUUCCCAGGAGGGAAAGGGCGGCUCUGUGCAGCAACAGGGGGGUCCCCUCUGAGCCCGCGAGCGGAGGGAGAGUCCGGGCUUGCCCCUCCUUUCUAUAAGGACGGAGCGAAGCCGCUUAGCGGUAGAGCGGGCAACGCGACCUGCCUGUAGUCAGGGCCUGGGUGUCUCUGCCUGCGUGGCCGCCUGUCCUGCUGGCGAGCUGCCAGCGUGACAGCCCUGUACUCGGGGCGUGUGUCACGAGCCGUGGAGCCCUCUUGUCCCCAGGAGCAGCCCGACCUCCCCGUAAGCGGGGCUGGGGGGGCCGCUCUAGCCAGCCCACAGGAACGAGCCCUCCCUCGCCCUUUAGCGGGCGCAGGUUGAGGAAGCGCUGCGCCGGAGGGCGCAGUCCCGCCUUUGGCGCUGCUUUUGGCUGGGGCGACCUCCCCGCGGUUGGGGUCGAGGUCGCUCCCUGGGCUCCUGAAGACGUGGCGUUGUGCUGCAGCCAGGCCGGCCGGCCCGUAAGUCGGGCGCAGGUGGGAGCCUCGGGCUCCGCGGGGCUUGUUGGGAGAGCCGAGCCGAGGGGGGCCGCCCUGUAAGCAGGGCUGUGCGUGUCCCCCGCGCUCGGCGGGAGGUGCUUGGAGGGACCCCCUGUAAUCAGGCGGGUAUCUCCUGGCCCCGGCCUUUCAGAGGCGCGGGGCCAGGAUGCGUGGGGGCCGGGCGUGCGCCCCCCCCGUCCUCGGGGCUGGGGCCGCGGCCCCCCGGCCUUUGGCCGUGAAGCUCCGCUGCCUGGCUGUCGAGUCUCGUUCCUGUGGCUGCGGGGGAAGGCCGAGCUCCCCGACUCCCUGGGUGUCGACCUGCCUGUAAGCAGGGUUCCGGGUCUGGGAGCCUUUGUGCUCAGCUGGCAGCCUGCGUGGGGUGACCGGCCCCGUUAGCGGGGUGCGGGUCGGGGUGCCCCUGAAUCGGAGAGAAGGAGCCUCCGUGGGCCUUUGGGACCAGGGCUGCCCUGUAAGUCAGGGCCCGGCCAGUGCCCUGCAGUCCCGGGCGCUUUGCGGUCCAGGCAGCGGCUCGAGCCCCCUGUAAGCAGGGACGCGGAGCCUCGUUGGCCGCUGCUUUGCAUGCCCAGCUUCGUUUGCCCAGGGUGCCCGCCUCCGAGCCCGGCUCCAGCACCGGCUGGAACUCUGGCCUGCGUCGCUUUGCGGCCGGCGGAGAAGAAAGAAGAGGCUUCGUGUGGAACGGCGAGUCAAGAGCGAGCGAGAAGAGGAGCGGCGUCGGGCUGAAGAGCGGGCAGAGGAGAAAGGCGCUCUGGGCAAAGGGACCUCCCUGUCAGCAGGGCGCGGUCACGUAAGAGCAUCGCGGGCACCUUUGGGGUGCCCCGGCUGGCUUUGCGCUGGGCGACCUCCCUGUAACCAGGGCUCGGUCUUUGCUUUUGUUGUCGUCGGCCUUUUGCCGUCGUGCUCCUUUGGCUGCCCGGAGAGAGCGGCGACCCUGUAAGGAGGGUGAGAGCCGCCGUCUCCGCACCCGAGGGGGGAAAGGGAGCUCUCUGGACCCCGAGCCCACCCUGUAAGCAGGGGAGGGCUGUUUCCCCGGCCCCCUCCUCCGGCCCCGGCGGCUUUGUGCCUGCCGGCGGCCUGCCCAGCGUGACCCCCUGGAGUCGGGGCGCGUCACAGUCUUUGCCCCUUGGCCACCCGUGAAGCCCCUUGGCGUGUUGAGGCCCCUCUGGCCUCCAUGCAGCCCGGGGGGCGGGUCUGAGGCUCUCCUCUCCUGCUCGGCGGUAGGGAUGGCGCCCCAGACAUUGGCUGCACAGGGCUCGCUCGCCCUUCUGGGAAGUUUUGUUUGUGUGUCCUUGUCCUUGUCUUUGUCCUUGUGGGUGUGAGCGAGCGAGCGAGUGAGCUUGUCCUUUAGGCCCCUCUUAAAAGCGCUGCAGCUUAGCUUAAGCUUCCCAGGAGGGAAAGGGCGGCUCUGUGCAGCAACAGGGGGGUCCCCUCUGAGCCCGCGAGCGGAGGGAGAGUCCGGGCUUGCCCCUCCUUUCUAUAAGGACGGAGCGAAGCCGCUUAGCGGUAGAGCGGGCAACGCGACCUGCCUGUAGUCAGGGCCUGGGUGUCUCUGCCUGCGUGGCCGCCUGUCCUGCUGGCGAGCUGCCAGCGUGACAGCCCUGUACUCGGGGCGUGUGUCACGAGCCGUGGAGCCCUCUUGUCCCCAGGAGCAGCCCGACCUCCCCGUAAGCGGGGCUGGGGGGGCCGCUCUAGCCAGCCCACAGGAACGAGCCCUCCCUCGCCCUUUAGCGGGCGCAGGUUGAGGAAGCGCUGCGCCGGAGGGCGCAGUCCCGCCUUUGGCGCUGCUUUUGGCUGGGGCGACCUCCCCGCGGUUGGGGUCGAGGUCGCUCCCUGGGCUCCUGAAGACGUGGCGUUGUGCUGCAGCCAGGCCGGCCGGCCCGUAAGUCGGGCGCAGGUGGGAGCCUCGGGCUCCGCGGGGCUUGUUGGGAGAGCCGAGCCGAGGGGGGCCGCCCUGUAAGCAGGGCUGUGCGUGUCCCCCGCGCUCGGCGGGAGGUGCUUGGAGGGACCCCCUGUAAUCAGGCGGGUAUCUCCUGGCCCCGGCCUUUCAGAGGCGCGGGGCCAGGAUGCGUGGGGGCCGGGCGUGCGCCCCCCCCGUCCUCGGGGCUGGGGCCGCGGCCCCCCGGCCUUUGGCCGUGAAGCUCCGCUGCCUGGCUGUCGAGUCUCGUUCCUGUGGCUGCGGGGGAAGGCCGAGCUCCCCGACUCCCUGGGUGUCGACCUGCCUGUAAGCAGGGUUCCGGGUCUGGGAGCCUUUGUGCUCAGCUGGCAGCCUGCGUGGGGUGACCGGCCCCGUUAGCGGGGUGCGGGUCGGGGUGCCCCUGAAUCGGAGAGAAGGAGCCUCCGUGGGCCUUUGGGACCAGGGCUGCCCUGUAAGUCAGGGCCCGGCCAGUGCCCUGCAGUCCCGGGCGCUUUGCGGUCCAGGCAGCGGCUCGAGCCCCCUGUAAGCAGGGACGCGGAGCCUCGUUGGCCGCUGCUUUGCAUGCCCAGCUUCGUUUGCCCAGGGUGCCCGCCUCCGAGCCCGGCUCCAGCACCGGCUGGAACUCUGGCCUGCGUCGCUUUGCGGCCGGCGGAGAAGAAAGAAGAGGCUUCGUGUGGAACGGCGAGUCAAGAGCGAGCGAGAAGAGGAGCGGCGUCGGGCUGAAGAGCGGGCAGAGGAGAAAGGCGCUCUGGGCAAAGGGACCUCCCUGUCAGCAGGGCGCGGUCACGUAAGAGCAUCGCGGGCACCUUUGGGGUGCCCCGGCUGGCUUUGCGCUGGGCGACCUCCCUGUAACCAGGGCUCGGUCUUUGCUUUUGUUGUCGUCGGCCUUUUGCCGUCGUGCUCCUUUGGCUGCCCGGAGAGAGCGGCGACCCUGUAAGGAGGGUGAGAGCCGCCGUCUCCGCACCCGAUGCAGGGCAAAGGGGGGCAGAUCUCUCGACCAUGAAGAAGCAACUUGUAUGGCAUGGAUGAAACAGUCGUCUUUUCUGCAAGCAUGAGGGAGAAGAGGAGUCCUUAAGUUGGUGCACUUCCAGACUGUGUUGAUGGGUGGAAUGCCCAUCUUUUUGUGCUGGUUGUGAUUUGAGUGAUCUCCCUGCCAUUUAGGUCUAUUUUGUUCCCUGGGCUUCUGAAUACGUGGUGUUGUGGACAUUAGUCUCUGGAAGAACAUAUUCUAGAGUAGCAUGUCUUUGUUCUAGAGCAAUGUCUGCUAUUGUCCUUUUGCUGUUUGAUUAAUGUUAAGUUUACUCAAUA